AGAGUUUGAUCCUGGCUCAGAUUGAACGCUGGCGGCAGGCUUAACACAUGCAAGUCGAGCGGGGUGAUGUAGCUUGCUACAUUACCUAGCGGCGGACGGGUGAGUAAUGCUUAGGAAUCUGCCUAUUAGUGGGGGACAACAUUCCGAAAGGAAUGCUAAUACCGCAUACGCCCUACGGGGGAAAGCAGGGGAUCUUCGGACCUUGCGCUAAUAGAUGAGCCUAAGUCAGAUUAGCUAGUUGGUGGGGUAAAGGCCUACCAAGGCGACGAUCUGUAGCGGGUCUGAGAGGAUGAUCCGCCACACUGGGACUGAGACACGGCCCAGACUCCUACGGGAGGCAGCAGUGGGGAAUAUUGGACAAUGGGCGAAAGCCUGAUCCAGCCAUGCCGCGUGUGUGAAGAAGGCCUUUUGGUUGUAAAGCACUUUAAGCGAGGAGGAGGCUACUUGGAUUAAUACUCUAGGAUAGUGGACGUUACUCGCAGAAUAAGCACCGGCUAACUCUGUGCCAGCAGCCGCGGUAAUACAGAGGGUGCGAGCGUUAAUCGGAUUUACUGGGCGUAAAGCGUGCGUAGGCGGCUUUUUAAGUCGGAUGUGAAAUCCCUGAGCUUAACUUAGGAAUUGCAUUCGAUACUGGGAAGCUAGAGUAUGGGAGAGGAUGGUAGAAUUCCAGGUGUAGCGGUGAAAUGCGUAGAGAUCUGGAGGAAUACCGAUGGCGAAGGCAGCCAUCUGGCCUAAUACUUACGCUGAGGUACGAAAGCAUGGGGAGCAAACAGGAUUAGAUACCCUGGCAGUC
Molecule: ribosomal RNA, 793 nt
Filed under: uncultured Acinetobacter sp.
Lineage: Bacteria; Pseudomonadati; Pseudomonadota; Gammaproteobacteria; Moraxellales; Moraxellaceae
Description: bacterial SSU rRNA
Rfam family: Bacterial small subunit ribosomal RNA
Source: RNAcentral